RNAcentral lists this long non-coding RNA (844 nucleotides) under Gallus gallus (chicken). The record is from RNAcentral. Lineage: Eukaryota; Metazoa; Chordata; Aves; Galliformes; Phasianidae.
CAUUGAUCCUUAGUAUUCAUCUGAUCAUGGUGACAUGGACCGUGUCCUCCUGUCUGUGAAAAUCCAGCAAUUCUCUGCAGGACUGCAGGUAGUCCUCAAAGCAUCUGCAGAGCUUCCCAUGGCGUGUGCUGAGAGGUGUAUCUUUGUUUGAUUCUGUGAUUAACAUCGACUGCACAGGUUUGUCUGAUGUCCCGAGCGCUGCCCGGGUGUUCCAGCGGCACCAACAGAGGCUGACUGAUGGGCUCCAGUUCAGACAUACGAAGGGUGGCAAGCAGAGGCAGCGUUCUGAGACCGCAAGUCCCUCAGAACUGGAUGUCCUCAUCCCCAGGGCUGUCAGCCACACCGUGUCCUGUCCCUGCCGGCUGCACAGCAACAGUGGCGACACGGCUGCAUUGCUGGGGAGAUGGAAGCCCAACGUGUGUCAUCUCUGAGGCUGCUCGAGUUCCUCUUCAGCGCUUUGCAGGGGAAGACCAGAGAAAUAAUAAGGCUUUGUAUGAGUGAUAAGACUGUAUCGUGAUGGCUGUUCGCUUCCUAACAGAUGGGACAGAGAUGCAGGUAGGGUGGAGGGGCCACAAAGGCAACUGAUGGAGAAGUUUCUUUGGAGUCUGCUGUUCUUUUUUGCUUCAUUUAUAUUUCAUUAGGCAUGAAAUUACGUUUAUAAUUGUAUUAGACAACUGUGUGAGAUAUUAGAUCAUAAGCCUAGACUGAAUUAAAGCCAUUUUUAAUUAGUUAUUGAUUUAUUCUGUUUCGUCAUUUUUAAUGAAAUGAUGCCCCUGAAUUCAAAGCGCUGGUGCAGGUGUGUUAUCUUAAUUCAUAGAACUAGCACUCUGCUUACCUCCCAACC